This 253-nucleotide ribosomal RNA is filed under the name uncultured prokaryote. Its description in RNAcentral is "partial 16S ribosomal RNA". It matches the Rfam family "Bacterial small subunit ribosomal RNA", at positions 524 to 776 of the family's 1533-position model. The record is from RNAcentral.
UACAGAGGUCUCAAGCGUUGUUCGGAUUCAUUGGGCGUAAAGCGCGCGCAGGCGGCGUCGGGCGUCGGUGCUGAAAGUCCACCGCUUAACGGUGGAUAGCGUGCCGAUACGCCGGCGCUGGAGGGUGGGUGAGGGUGGUGGAAUUGCCGGUGUAGUGGUGAAAUGCGUAGAGAUCGGCAGGAACACCCGUGGCGGAAGCGGCCACCUAGCCCGCACCUGACGCUGAGGCGCGACAGCGUGGGGAGCGAACGGG